This 432-nucleotide ribosomal RNA is filed under the name uncultured bacterium. Its description in RNAcentral is "partial 16S ribosomal RNA". It matches the Rfam family "Bacterial small subunit ribosomal RNA", at positions 29 to 506 of the family's 1533-position model. The record is from RNAcentral.
AGCGAACGCUGGCGGCAGGCCUAACACAUGCCAGUCGAACGAACUCUUCGGAGUUAGUGGCGGACGGGUGAGUAACACGUGGGAACGUGCCUUUUGGUUCGGAAUAACUCAGGGAAACUUGUGCUAAUACCGAAUGUGCCCUUCGGGGGAAAGAUUUAUCGCCAUUAGAGCGGCCCGCGUCUGAUUAGCUAGUUGGUGAGGUAACGGCUCGCCAAGGCGACGAUCAGUAGCUGGUCUGAGAGGAUGACCAGCCACACUGGGACUGAGACACGGCCCAGACUCCUACGGGAGGCAGCAGUGGGGAAUCUUGCGCAAUGGGCGAAAGCCUGACGCAGCCAUGCCGCGUGAAUGAUGAAGGUCUUAGGAUUGUAAAAUUCUUUCACCGGGGACGAUAAUGACGGUACCCGGAGAAGAAGCCCCGGCUAACUUCGU